This 303-nucleotide unclassified non-coding RNA is filed under the name Myxococcus sp. 139. RNAcentral's name for it is "partial RNAseP RNA". It matches the Rfam family "Bacterial RNase P class A", at positions 60 to 320 of the family's 367-position model. Rfam says of the family: Ribonuclease P (RNase P) is a ubiquitous endoribonuclease, found in archaea, bacteria and eukarya as well as chloroplasts and mitochondria. Its best characterised activity is the generation of mature 5'-ends of tRNAs by cleaving the 5'-leader elements of precursor-tRNAs. Cellular RNase Ps are ribonucleoproteins. Lineage: Bacteria; Pseudomonadati; Myxococcota; Myxococcia; Myxococcales; Myxococcaceae. The record is from RNAcentral.
CAGAGGGCAGGGUGCUGGCUAACGGCCAGUCGAGGCGACUCGCAGGAAAGUGCCACAGAAAACAGACCGCCCGUUCCGCGAGGGGCGGGUAAGGGUGAAACGGUGCGGUAAGAGCGCACCGCGUCCGGGGUGACUCGGACGGCUCGGUAAACCCCACCUGGAGCAAGAGCCAAUAGGAGCGCGUCCCCGCUGUCCGGGGGACAGGGGUUGCCCGCCCCAUGCGUUCGGGUUGCUCGCUGAUGAGGCCCCUGGGCAACCAGGGCCCUAGAUGAAUGUUCAUCGCCCGUCCCGAAAGGGGCGGGA